RNAcentral lists this transfer RNA (66 nucleotides) under Ectopsocopsis cryptomeriae. RNAcentral describes it as "tRNA-Cys". Lineage: Eukaryota; Metazoa; Arthropoda; Insecta; Psocodea; Ectopsocidae. The record is from RNAcentral.
GAUUUUAUAUUUUAACAUAAAAUAUUAAAUUGCAAGUUUAAAGAUAAUUUAUUAUAUUUAAAAUCU